UAUUGGACAAUGUGCGAAAGCCUGAUCCACCCAUGCCGCGUGUGUGAAGAAGGUCUUCGGAUUGUAAAGCACUUUUUUUUGGGAGGAAGGGCAGCUGUUAAUACCUUGCUGUUUUGACGUUACCCACAAAAUAAGCACCGGCUAACUUCGUGCCACCAGCCGCGGUAAUACAAAGGGUGCAAGCGUUAAUCGGAA
RNAcentral lists this ribosomal RNA (195 nucleotides) under uncultured Gammaproteobacteria bacterium. RNAcentral describes it as "partial 16S ribosomal RNA". It matches the Rfam family "Bacterial small subunit ribosomal RNA", at positions 362 to 550 of the family's 1533-position model. Lineage: Bacteria; Pseudomonadati; Pseudomonadota; Gammaproteobacteria. The record is from RNAcentral.